CACAUUCCAUGGUGAUCAUGGGGUGACUUGACUGUGGCACGUUUCAGGCAGGAUUCCUCCUUCCUUCAAACUGCAUCACCCAGGAGUCUGCAAAUUCCCCAAAGUAGGAGGAAAAAUGACCACAUUCAAGGUGAGGGGGGCGUGCCUCUCUCGCUGUUAAAAUUCCAUGUCACUACUCAUAUUGUCAUGUGUUUUUCUCUGUCAUGAGAAGACUCAAGGGGAAAACAGGCAUUUGGGGACCUGUUUGUGCCAGGUGCUUCCUUUAUCUCUUUUGUGUUGACUGCAUUUGGUUUUUGGUUUUGCUUUGUUUUGUUUUGUUACCAUUAUUUAUUUUAUGGAGUGUGAAAAUUAGUAGAAAUGAAUAGUGCUACCACUUCCUUACCUCCCCUCUCUCAAAUUAUCUGUUUUUAUCUUAUCUUGCUGUUUGUCAUGUACAUUCGUAACUGUAUUUGUAUUGAUGAUAUACAUCUAAUUGUAAACUGUGCUCUUUUUAUAUGUUAUAUAAUCUUCCAUUUUUAUGGUUACAUCAUAUUCCUAUUACAUUGAUAUAUCUUUUUAUUUAUAACUACCUCACGCUCAUAGACAUAUUUUAAGCAACACUGCAGUGACAGCUUUCCUAUAUAUAACCUUUUCCCACAAAAUUAAUUUUGAAAACCAUAUGCCAUUUUAGCUCAAUUUUGAA
RNAcentral lists this long non-coding RNA (682 nucleotides) under Pan troglodytes (chimpanzee). Its description in RNAcentral is "long non-coding RNA NONPTRT008145". Lineage: Eukaryota; Metazoa; Chordata; Mammalia; Primates; Hominidae. The record is from RNAcentral.